Molecule: long non-coding RNA, 161 nt
Organism: Hypanus sabinus (Atlantic stingray)
Lineage: Eukaryota; Metazoa; Chordata; Chondrichthyes; Myliobatiformes; Dasyatidae
Exons: 3
Source: RefSeq, a predicted model, not a curated record
AUGAGGAGAGAUUGUUGAAUCUGAGGACACCAAAGAGAAAUAACCAGCCACUGUUGGAACAAGAGGUCAUCCCUGUCAGAGAAAGAACAUUACUUCUUGAUAAUACUUGACAAGCAGUAAAAAGGCCUCAGCAGAUAGAGAUGGCUCAGAACUUGGACAGG